AGUCCUCGUGACUCACCAGAUACUAUCACAACAGUUGCAGGUGCCGAUGAUACCAGUGCAGGUGAUGCAACCGAGCUCAGAUGGGAGCUCAACGAAGAUCUUGGUUGUUGCUACAUUUUGUUUCAUGUUGAUCAGUAGUGGAGCCCAGUUGGGACGAUCGGGGAUCUAGCAGUUGGGUUAUCUUCUUUUCUUUUGCCUUCGUCCGUAGUCAGACUAUGUGUGUACUCUGAAUGAUAUAUGAAUUAUAUGUUCAUUGUGUGAAGUGGCGAUUGUAAGCCAACUCUUUAUCCCAUUCUUGUUCAUUACAUGGGAUUGUGUGAAGAUGACCCUUCUUACGACAAAACCACCAUGUGGUUAUGCCUCUAAGUCGUGCUUCGACACGUGGGAGAUAUAGCCGCAUCGUGGGUGUUACACCGGAGCACCCUCUCCAGUGGGUACGCUGAAACAACCUUGAUGGGGUGGCCCUGAAAGUAGUGGUGCAGUUUCCUGGAGGCAACCAGGAGUGCGAGCAAGAGCUUUUGAGGCAUGGGGUAGCGUGCCCAAGCCUCCCUCUGUACUGUGCUGACGAAGUAGAUAGGGUGCUCGACAAGGACUGUGGCGUCAGCGGAAUCUUGUUUUUCACGAGGGCACAGGCCCUCCAUGGCCUCACGAGGCCCGUCCUCAAGAGCCUUGACAGCCACGAGAUCAACCGUGGCCUCAGAAGGGAUGUCGACCACUGCAUUGGCCGAUACUUCAGAUGCCUCGCCCUGGGGAUGUUGCGCCUAGCUGGAUGACUAUCCGUCCUGCUGAGCCUUCUUGAUCAGUCGUUCCCCCUUAACGCCCCCCAGUGCAGUGCUGGCUGAGUGUGGGGUCGCUGCUAGAUAGAGCACCAAAGGCUUGAGAGGGCGUGGUGCCACCAUCACCAGAGGGCUGGUCAAAUAUCUCUUGAGAUCCUAGAAAGUUGCGCCUGCCUCUGGGGUCCACUCAAAUGGCUCCUUCCUCUUCAUCAUCUUGAAAAAUGGGAGGGCGCGCUCCCCCAACUUGGAAAUGAAUCGCCCAAGUGAGGUUACGCAGCCAGUCAGCUUCUGCAUCUCCUUCAGGGUCUGCGGGGGGUUCAUGUCCUCUAUCGCCUUGACCUUUUCUGGGUUAGCCUUGAUCCCUCUGUGCGACACCAAGAAACCCAACAACUUUCCGAAAGGGACCCCAAACACACACUUCUCGGGGUUAAGCCGAAGAUCCACCGUGCGCAGGCUGGCAAACGUCUCCUCCAGAUCUCCGAUCAGGGUUCUAGCCUCCCGAGACUUCACCACUAUAUCAUCAACAUAGGCCUCUGUGUUUCUCCCGAGCUGUGAACCCAGGGUGAUGUGCAUUACGCAUCCCGAACGACAUGCAGGUGUAACAGUACACCCCGCACGGUGUGAGAAAUGUUGUCUUCUCCACAUCCUCCACAGCUAUCUUGAUCUGGUGGUAACUGGAGAAAGCAUCUAGGAAGCACAAUAGGUCGCACUCGGCGGUGGAGUCGACGAUCUGGUUGAUGCGAGGGAGUGGGAAGGGAUCUUGUGGGCAGGCUUUGUUGAGGUUGGUGAAGUCGACACACAUGCGCUCCUUCCCUCCUUUCUUGGGGAUGAUGAUGGGAUUCGCCAGCCACUCUGGGUACCGCACCUCUCUCAUGACCCCUGCGGCUUGUAGCUUACGGGUUUCCUGGACAAUGAAGGCCUACUUCUCAGUGGACUGGCGGUGAGCCUUCUACUUUACUGGUCGCACAUUCGGGCACACCCUCAGGUGAUGCUUGAUUAUCCCCCUUGGGACCCCAGCCAGGUGCUUGGGUUCCCAAGCAAAUACAUCCUUGUUGGCUCGCAGAAAGUUAAUCGAUGCUUCCUCUUGGUCCUGAGGGAGGCCAGCCCCCAUGGUGAAGGAGGCACUAGCCGGCCCAUCCUCGCAGACCGGCACUUGCUUCAUUUCGGCUCGGUCUUGGGAGAACAACUGCUUCUUCUUGGCCGGCGCUACUUCUUGGGCCUCCUGGCCCUUCUUCUCGCCCAGCAGCGCGGACGCGGCCAUCCUGAAGGCGAGCUUGAGGGCCUGCAGCGCGCCUUUGGUGUCCCCCGCCACCGUGAGGACACCGUUACUGUCAGGCAUCUUCAUGAGGUUGUACGCGGGGUGGGUCUUGAUACGUCUCCAAUGUAUCUAUAAUUUUUUAUUGUUCCAUGCUAUUAUAUUACCUGUUUUUGGAUGUUUAUGGGCUUUACUUUACACUUUUAUAUCAUUAAUGGGACUAACCUACUAACCGGAGUCCCAACCCGAAUUGUUAUUUUUUUGCCUAUUUCAGUGUUUCAAAGAAAAGGAAUAUCAAACGGAGUCCAAACGGAAUAAAACCUUCGGGAGCGAUCUUUUUGGAACAAAUGUGACCCAGAGGACUUGGAGUGCAAGUCAAGAAACAAGCGAGGCGGCCACAAGGGUGCCCGGCACGCCCCUAGGGCUGGCCGCGCCCCCCUCCCUCGUGGGCCCCUUGAUCAUCCACCAACGUACUCCUUCCUCCUAUAUAUACCCAUGUACCCCGAAAACAUCAGGGGCGGCCACGAAAAACUAUUUCCACCACCGUAACCUUCUGUAUCCGCGAGAUCCCAUCUUGGAGCCGUUGCCGGCGCUCCGUCGGAGGGGGAAUCCACCAUGGAGGGCCUCUACAUCAACUCCAAAGCCUCUCCGAUGAGUUGUGAGUAGUUUACCAAUGACCUUCGGGUCAUAGUUAUUAGCUAGAUGGCUUCUUCUCUCUCUUUGAUUCUCAAUACAAAGUUCUCCUUCCUCUUCUUGGAGAUCUAUUCGAUGUAACUCUUUUUGUGGUGUGUUUGUCGAGAUCCGAUGAAUUUUGGGUUUAUGAUCAAGUUUAUCUAUGAGAAAUAUUUGAAUCUCCUUUGAAAGCUUUUAUGUGUGAUUAAUUUAUCUUUGCAAGUCUCUUCGAAUUAUCGGUUUGGUUUGGCCUACUAGAUUGAUCUUUCUUGCAAUGGGAGAAGUGCUUAGCUUUGGGUUCAAUCUUGUGGUGUCCUUUCCUAGUGACAGCAAGGGCAGCAAGGCACGUAUUGUAUUGUUGCCAUCGAGGAUAAAAAGAUGGGGUUUAUAUCAUAUUGCAUGAGUUUAUCCCUCUACAUCAUGUCAUCUUUCUUAAAGCGUUACUAUGUUCUUCAUGAACUUAAUACUCUAGAUGCAUGCUGGAUAGCGGUCGAUGUGUGGAGUAAUAGUAGUAGGUGCAGGCAGGAGUCGGUCUACUUGUCACGGACGUGAUGCCUAUAUACAUGAUCAUGCCUAGAUAAUCUCAUAAUUUUUCAUUUUUCUACCAAUUGGUCGGCAGUAAUUUUUGUUACUUCGCAAAUCUUUCCAAACACUUGGGUUUCUUCUUGGGUAGGAUGUGGUCCUCCCUUUUGAGGUAGUGUUACCACUAUUCUCUCUAUAAUUUCAUGCGCAAUACUAGGAUCAAUUUCAAUGAAAUUUCCCUUGGCAAUGCAGUCCAAGAGUUGUCUAUGCGUCAUGUUCAUCCCAACAUAAAAAUUGCAAAGAAGAAUUCUAAAGUUCACCUCUAGGGUGCACUUGCGAUAAGAUUCCAUCAUCUUAUACCAAGCAUCUUUUAAAUUUUCUCCUUGCCUUUGCUUGAAGUGAAGAACUUCAAACUCGGGAGACAUAGGAGCGGAUAAGGAACUAGCCAUAACGACAAGGUAAAUGAUCUAACACACGAGCAAGCAGAAAAAGGCAAGCGAAAGAGAGAGGAAGAAGAAGGCAAGCGGAAAAGAGAGGAGAUUGGGCAAGAGAGGGCGAAUAAAAUGGCAAGGGUGCAGUGGGGGAGAGGAAAAUGAGAGGAAAAUGGCAAAUAAUGUAAAUGCAAGGGAGAUGAGUUUGUGAUGGGUACUUUGCAUGUCUUGACUUGAGCGAAGACCUACCCAGCAACGAUGCCAGAAAUCCUUCUUGCCACGUCUUGAGCUUGCGUUGGUUUUCCUUGAAGAGGAAAGGGUGAUGCAGCAUAGUAGCGUAAGUAUUUCCCUCAGUUUUUGAGAACCAAGGUAUCAAUCGAGUAGGAGGCUCCUCACAAGUCCCAUGAACCUACAUAAACAAACAAAGAACUCGCAACCAACGUGAUAAAGGGGUUGUCAAUCCCUUCACGGCCACUUGCGAAAGUGAGAUCUGAUAGAGAUAAUAUGAUAAGAUAAAUAUAUUUUUGGUAUUUUAUAAUAUAGAUGCAGAAAAUAAAGAUGCAAAUAAAAGUAGAUUGGAAACUUAUAUCAUAAAAGAUAGACCCGGGGGCCAUAGGUUUCACUAGAGGCUUCUCUCAAGAUAGCAUAAGUAUUACGGUGGGUGAACAAAUUACUGUUGAGCAAUUGAUUGAAAAGCGAAUAAUUAUGAGAUUAGGCAUGAUCAUGUAUAUAGGCAUCACGUCCGUGACAAGUAGACCGACUCCUGCCUGCAUCUACUACUAUUACUCCACACAUCGACCGCUAUCCAGCAUGCAUCUAGAGUAUUAAGUUCAUAAGAACAGAGUAACGCAUUAAGAAAGAUGACAUGAUGAGAGGGAUAAACUCAAGCAAUAUGAUAUAAACCCCAUCUUUUGAUCCUCAAUGGCAACAAUACAAUAUGUGCCUUGCAACCCUUUUUGUCGCUGGGUAAGGACACGCAAGAUUGAACCCAAAGCUAAGCACUUCUCCCAUGGCAAGAAAGAUCAAUCUAGUAGGCCAAACCAAAUCGAUAAUUCAAAGAGACUUGCAAAGAUAACUCAAUCAUACAUAAAAGAAUUCAGAGAAGAUUCAAAUAUUAUUCAUAGAUAAACUUGAUCAUAAACCCACAAUUUAUCGGAUCUCGACAAACACACAGCAAAAAGAGAUUACAUCAAAUAGAUCUCCACAAGAGAGGGGGAGAACAUUGUAUUGAGAUCCAAAAAAGAGAGAAGAAGCCAUCUAGCUAAUAACUAUGGACUCGAAGGUCUGUGGUAAACUACUCACAACUCAUCGGAAGGGCUAUGGUGUUGAUGUAGAAGCCCUCCAUGGUGGAUUCCCCCUCCGGCAGAAUGCCGGCGACGGCUCCAAGAUGGGAUCUCGCAGAUACAGAAGGUUACGAUGGUGGAAAUAUUUCUUUGGUGGCUCCCUGGAUGUUUUCGGGGUAUGUAGUCUUAUAUAGGAGGAAGAAGUACGUCGAUGGCCGCCCGAGGGGCCCACAAGACAAGGGGUGCACCCAGGAGGGGUGGGCGCGCCCUCCUAUCUCGUGGCCGCCUCGGCUGCUUCUUGGCUUGCACUCCAAGUCCUCUGGAUCAUGUUCGUUCCAAAAGUUACGCUCCCGAAGGUUUCAUUCCGUUUGGACUCCGUUUGAUAUUCCUUUUCUUAGAAAUACUGAAAUAGACAAAAAAACAGCAAUACGGGCUGGGCCUCCGAUUAGUAGGUUAGUCCCAAAAAUGAUAUAGAUGUGUAAAAUAAAUCCCAUAGACAUCCAAAACAGGUAAUAUAAUAGCAUGCAACAAUCAAAAAUUAUAGAUACGUUGGAGACGUAUCAAGCAUCCCCAAGCUUAAUUCAUGCUCGUCCUCGAGUAGGUAAAUGAUAAAAACAGAAUUUUUGAUGUGGAAUGCUACCUAGCAUAAUUCUCAAUGUAAUUUCUCUUUAUUGUGGCAUGAAUGUUCAGAUCCAAGUGAUUCAAAAUAAAAGUUAAUAUUGACAAAAGAAAUAGUAAUACUUCAAGCAUACUAAUAAAAGCAAUCAUGUCUUCUCAAAAUAACAUGGCUAAAGAAAUUUCAUCCCUACAAAAUCAUAUAGUUAGGCUAUGCUUCAUUUUCGUCACACAAAGAUGUUCCCAACUUCUAUACCCCCGAUGACAAACCAAGCAAUUGUUUCGUACUUAAAUAAUCUCAAACUUUUUCAACCUUCACGCAAUACAUGAGCGUGAGCCAUGGAUAUAGCACUAUGGGUGGAAUAGAAUAAUGAUUGGGGAUUGUGUGGAGAAGACAAAAAGGAGAAAGUCUCGCAUUGAUGAGGAUAAUCAACAGGCUAUGGGAAUGCCCAUCAAUUGAGGUCAACAUGAGGAGUAGGGAUUGCCAUUCAGCGGAUGCACUAGAGCUAUAAAUGAAUGAAAGCUCAACAAAACAAAACUAGGUGGGUGUGCAUCCAACUUGCUUGCUCACGAAGACCUAGGGCAUUUGAGGAAGCCCAUCGUAGGAAUAUACAAGCCAAGUUCUAUAAUGAAAAAUUCCCACUAGUAUAUGAAAGUGACAACCUAUGAGACUCUCUACAUGAAAACAUGGUGCUACUUUGAAGCACAAUAUAUGAUACUCACUACAUGAAGAACAAGGUGCUACUUUGAAGCACAAGUGUGGAAAAAGAGAUAGUAGCAUUGCCCCUUUAUUUUUUUUAUUUUUUUUCCUUUCUUUUUUUCCUUUUUCGUUUUUUUCUUUGGCCUUUCUUUUUUUAUUUUGGCCUUUCUUUUUUUGGGCAAUGCUCUAAUAAUGAUGACCAUCACACUUUUAUUGAUUACAACACAUGAAUUACAACUCGAAACUAGAACAAGAUAUGACUCUAUAUGAAUGCCUCCGGCGGCGUACUGGGAUGGUGCAAUGAAUCAAGAGUGACAUGUAUAAAAAUUAUGCAUGGUGGCUUUGCCACAAAUACGAUGUCAACUACAUGAUCAUGCAAUGGCAAUAUGACAAAAGUAAUGUAUGUCAUGAUGAUGAUGAACGGAGCGGUGGAAAGUUGUCUGGCAAUAUAUCUCGGAAUGGCUAUGGAAAUGCCAUAAAUAGGUAGGUAUGGUGGCUGUUUUGAGGAAGAUAUAAGGAGGUUUAUGUGUAAUAGAGCGUAUCAUAUCACGGGGUUUGGAUGCACCGGCGAAGUUUGCACCAACUCUCAAGGUGAGAAAGGGCAAUGCACGGUACUGAAGAGGCUAGCAAUGAUGGAAAGGUAAAAGUGCGUAUAAUCCAUGGACUCAACAUUAGUCAAAAGAACUCAUAUACUUAUUGAAAAAAUUUAGAAGUCAUCAAAAACCAAGCACUACGCGCAUGCUCCUAGGGGGAUAGAUUGGUAGGAAAAGACCAUCGCUCGUCCCCGACCGCCACUCAUAAGGAUGCACAAGCCAGGUACACUUCAUGCUUCAAAUUUGUUACACAACUUUAACUAUACGUGCAUGCUACGGGACUUCCUAACUUCAACACAAGCAUUUUUAAAUUCAUAAUCACCCAACUAGCAUGACUUUAAUAUCACUACCUCCCUAUCUCAAAACAACUAUCAAGUAUCAAGUUGAUCAUAGCAUCCAAUUCACUUCCUAUGAUUGUUUUUAUUAUACCCAACUUGGAUGCUCAUCAUUCUAGGACCAACUUAUAAUCAUAGAAAAUACCAUGCUGUUCUAAAAGACUCUCAAAAUAAUAUAAGUGAAGCAUGAGAGAUCAACAAUUUCUUCAAAAUUAAUCCACCGUUAUGCUCUAAAAGAUAUAAGUGAAGCACUAGAGCAAAAACUAUCUAGCUCAAAAUAUAUAAGUAAAGCACAUAGAGUAUUCUAAUAAAUUUCAAUCAAGUAGGCCUCUCCCAAAAGGUGUUUUACAGCAAGGAUGAUUGUGGUAAACUAAAAAUCAAAGACUAAUAUAAUACAUGACUCUCCAAGCAAAACAAAUAUCAUGUGGCAAAUAAAAAUAUAGCUCCAAGUAAAGUUACCAAUGAACGAAGACGAAAGAGGGGAUGCCUUCCGGGGGCAUCCCCAAGCUUAGGAUUUUGGAUAUUAUCUUGGGGUGCCUUGGGCAUCCCCAGCUUAGGCUUUUGCCACCCUUUAUUCCAUAGUCCAUCAAAGCUUUACCCAAAACUUGAAAACUUCACAACACAAAAGUCAACAGGAAAUCUCAUAAGCUCCGUUAGUGAAAGAAAACAAAACCACCACAUAAGGUACUGUAAUGAACUCAUUCUUUAUUUAUAUUGGUAUUAAACCUACUGUAUUCCAAGUUCUCUAUGGUUCAUACCCUUACAUACUAGCCAUAGAUGCAUCAAAAUAAGCAAACAACACACAGAAAACAGAAUCUAUCAAAAAAAGAACAGUCUGUAGCAAUCUGUAACUAACGCAACCUUCUGGAACCUUAAAAAUCCUACCAAAAUAGGACGUCCUAAACAAUUUGCUUAUUGAACAACAUCAAAAAUAAUCAAUGCAAAAUCUCGUUUCUGUGAUUUAUUGAUUUUUUUCUCAUGAGCGCAAAGUUUCUGUUUUUCAGCAGAAUCAAAUCAACUCAUAUCAUAGGCUAUCCUAUAGGUUCUACUUGGCACAAACACUAAAUAAAACAUGAAAACACAUCUAAACAGAAAUUAGAUGCAAAAUUUAUUACUAAACAGGAACAAAACAAGAAACACAAAGAAAAUUGGGUUGCCUCCCAACUAGCACUAUCGUUUAAUGCCCCUAGCUAGGCAUAAAAGCAAAGAUAGAUCUAAGUAGUGCCAUCUUUAAUUUUCAGUUUUUUAGCGGAGUCAUGCUCGAAUCCGGGAGGUUCUUUACUUUUCCCUUCAUACUCGGAAAUUUUUAGGUCUAAAGAAUCCAACCGCUUAUUGCAAAGGGCAAUCAACAUAUUCAUGCGGUGAAGAUUUCCGGUAACACUUUUAAGAGGCUCAAGAGAUUUUUGUAAAAAAUUUGUUACUUCGCAAAUCUUUCCAAACACUUGGGUUUCUUCUUGGGUAGGAUGUGGUCCUCCCUUUUGAGGUAGUGUUCCCACUAUUCCCUCUAUAAUUUCAUGCACAAUACUAGGAUCAAUUUCAAUGAAAUUUCCCUUGGCAAUGUAGUCCAAGAGUUGUCUAUGUGUCAUGUUCAGCCCAACAUAAAAAUUGCGAAGAAGAAUUCUAAAGUUCACCUCUAGAGUGCACUUGCGAUAAGAUCCCAUCAUCCUAUACCAAGCAUCUUUUAAAUUUUCUCCUUGCCUUUGCUUGAAGUGAAGAACUUCAAACUCGGGAGACAUAGGAGCGGAUAAGGAACUAGCCAUAACGACAAGGUAAAGAUCUAUAACACGAGCAAACAGAAAAAGGCAAGCGAAAGAGAGAGGAAGAAGAAGUCAAGCCGAAAAGAGAGGAGAUUGGUAAAGAGAGGGCGAAUAAAAUGGCAAGGGUGAAGUGGGGGAGAGCAAAACGAGAGGCAAAUGGUAAAUAAUGUAAAUGCGAGGGAGAUGAGUUUGUGAUGGGUACUUGGUAUGUCUUGACUUGAGCGAAGACCUCCCCGGCAACAGCGCCAGAAAUCCUUCUUGCUACGUCUUGAGCUUGCGUUGGUUUUCCUUGAAGAGGACAAGGUGAUGCAGCAUAGUAGCAUAAGUAUUUCCCUCAGUUUUUGAGAACCAAGGUAUCAAUCCAGUAGGAGGCUCCUCACAAGUCCCACAAACCUACACAAACAAACAAAGAACUCGCAACCAACGCGAUAAAGGGGUUGUCUAUCCCUUCACGGCCACUUGCGAAAGUGAGAUCUGAUAGAGACAAUAUGAUAAGAUAAAUAUAUUUUUGUAUUUUUUAAUAUAGACGCAGAAAAUAAAGAUGCAAAUAAAAGUAGAUUGGAAACUUAUAUGAUAAAAGAUAGACCCGGGGGCCAUAGGUUUCACUAGAGGCUUCUCUCAAGAUAGCAUAAGUAUUACGGUGGGUGAACAAAUUACUGUCGAGCAAUUUAUAUAAAAGCGAAUAAUUAUGAGAUUAUCUAGGCUUGAUCAUGUAUAUAGGCAUCACGUCCGUGACAAGUUGACCGACUCAUUCCUACAUCUACUACUAUUACUCCACACAUCGACCGCUAUCCAGCAUGCAUCUAGAGUAUUAUGUUCAUAAGAACAGAGUAAGCAUUAAGAAAGAUGACAUGAUGUAGAGGGAUAAACUCAAGCAAUAUGAUAUAAACCCCAUCUUUUUAUCCUCGAUGGCAACAAUACAAUAUGUGCCUUGCAACCCUUUCUGUCACUGGGUAAGGACGCCGCAAGAUUGAACCCAAAGCUAAGCACUUCUCCCAUGGCAAGAAGGAUCAAUCUAGUAGGCCAAACCAAAUCGAUAAUUCGAAGAGACUUGCAAAGAUAACUCAAUCAUACAUAAUAGAAUUCAGAGAAGAUUCAAAUAUUAUUCAUAGAUAAACUUGAUCAUGAACCCACAAUUCAUCGGAUCUCGACAAACACACCGCAAAAAGAGAUUACAUCAAAUAGAUCUCCACAAGAGAGGGGGAGAACAUUGUAUUGAGAUCCAGAAAAGAGAGAAGAAGCCAUCUAGCUAAUAAAUAUGGACCCGAAGGUCUGUGGUAAACUACUAACAACUCAUCGGAAGGGCUAUGGUGUUGAUGUAGAAGCCCUCCCUGGUGGAUUCCCCCUCGGCAGAACGCCGACGACGGCUCCAAGAUGGGAUCUCACGGAUACAGAAGGUUACGAUGGUGGAAAUUUUUCUUUGGUGGCUCCCUGGAUGUUUUCGAGGUAUGUAGGCUUAUAUAGGAGGAAGAAGUACGUCGGUGGCCGCCCGAGGGGCCCACGAGACAGGGGGAGCGCCCAGGAGGGGUGGGUGCGCCGUCCUAUCUCGUGGCCGCCUCUCCUGCUUCUUGGCUUGUACUCCAAGUCCUCUGGAUCAUGUUCGUUCCAAAAAUCACGCUCCCAAAGGUUUCAUUCCGUUUGGACUCUGUUUUAUAUUCCUUUUCUUCGAAAUACUAAAAUAGGCAAAAAAAAA
This 10632-nucleotide long non-coding RNA is filed under the name Triticum aestivum (bread wheat). RNAcentral's name for it is "long non-coding RNA (TAES_LNC003566)". The record is from RNAcentral. Lineage: Eukaryota; Viridiplantae; Streptophyta; Magnoliopsida; Poales; Poaceae.